Molecule: ribosomal RNA, 482 nt
Filed under: uncultured bacterium
Lineage: Bacteria
Description: partial 16S ribosomal RNA
Rfam family: Bacterial small subunit ribosomal RNA
Source: RNAcentral
UUGAACGCUGGCGGCAGGCCUAACACCUGCCCGUCGAGCGGUAGAGAGAAGCUUGCUUCUCUUGAGAGCGGCGGACGGGUGAGUAAUGCCUAGGAAUCUGCCUGGUAGUGGGGGAUAACGUUCGGAAACGGACGCUAAUACCGCAUACGUCCUACGGGAGAAAGCAGGGGACCUUCGGGCCUUGCGCUAUCAGAUGAGCCUAGGUCGGAUUAGCUAGUUGGUGGGGUAAUGGCUCACCAAGGCGACGAUCCGUAACUGGUCUGAGAGGAUGAUCAGUCACACUGGAACUGAGACACGGUCCAGACUCCUACGGGAGGCAGCAGUGGGGAAUAUUGGACAAUGGGCGAAAGCCUGAUCCAGCCAUGCCGCGUGUGUGAAGAAGGUCUUCGGAUUGUAAAGCACUUUAAGUUGGGAGGAAGGGCAGUAAAUUAAUACUUUGCUGUUUUGACGUUACCGACAGAAUAAGCACCGGCUAACUCUGU